Molecule: ribosomal RNA, 465 nt
Filed under: Vreelandella stevensii
Lineage: Bacteria; Pseudomonadati; Pseudomonadota; Gammaproteobacteria; Oceanospirillales; Halomonadaceae
Description: partial 16S ribosomal RNA
Rfam family: Bacterial small subunit ribosomal RNA
Source: RNAcentral
CCUACGGGUGGCAGCAGUGGGGAAUAUUGGACAAUGGGCGAAAGCCUGAUCCAGCCAUGCCGCGUGUGUGAAGAAGGCCUUCGGGUUGUAAAGCACUUUCAGUGGGGAAGAAAGCCUUGGGGCUAAUACCCUCGAGGAAGGACAUCACCCACAGAAGAAGCACCGGCUAACUCCGUGCCAGCAGCCGCGGUAAUACGGAGGGUGCGAGCGUUAAUCGGAAUUACUGGGCGUAAAGCGCGCGUAGGCGGUCUGAUAAGCCGGUUGUGAAAGCCCCGGGCUCAACCUGGGAACGGCAUCCGGAACUGUCAGGCUAGAGUGCAGGUGAGGAAGGUAGAAUUCCCGGUGUAGCGGUGAAAUGCGUAGAGAUCGGGAGGAAUACCAGUGGCGAAGGCGGCCUUCUGGACUGACACUGACGCUGAGGUGCGAAAGCGUGGGUAGCAAACAGGAUUAGAUACCCUGGUAGUC